GACGAGAUAAAGAUUUUAUCCACUCAAUCGAUGCCGAGAUAAAUCAUAGAUCUCGUGAAGAUGCAUGUUAUAGGAAAUAUUUUCAUUUUAUUUUUUAUUUACGGAACAGAUGUAGACACAUUUAUAGGAAGGUUCAGGGAUCGACUACGAAUAGGAGUGUCUAGCCACUAUAAAAGGCAUAUUGAAUUGAUUAAAAUUUUUAGUUUUAUUCUUUAUUAUUUGUUGAUGACUCAUUUGUCUCACAGAAAG
This 249-nucleotide long non-coding RNA is filed under the name Elaeis guineensis (African oil palm). RNAcentral describes it as "long non-coding RNA (EGUI_LNC030243)". Lineage: Eukaryota; Viridiplantae; Streptophyta; Magnoliopsida; Arecales; Arecaceae. The record is from RNAcentral.